RNAcentral lists this ribosomal RNA (538 nucleotides) under uncultured Staphylococcus sp. RNAcentral describes it as "bacterial SSU rRNA". It matches the Rfam family "Bacterial small subunit ribosomal RNA", at positions 56 to 576 of the family's 1533-position model. The record is from RNAcentral. Lineage: Bacteria; Bacillati; Bacillota; Bacilli; Caryophanales; Staphylococcaceae.
UGCAAGUCGAGCGAACGGACGAGAAGCUUGCUUCUCUGAUGUUAGCGGCGGACGGGUGAGUAACACGUGGAUAACCUACCUAUAAGACUGGGAUAACUUCGGGAAACCGGAGCUAAUACCGGAUGAUAUUUUGAACCGCAUGGUUCAAAAGUGAAAGACGGUCUUGCUGUCACUUAUAGAUGGAUCCGCGCUGCAUUAGCUAGUUGGUAAGGUAACGGCUUACCAAGGCAACGAUGCAUAGCCGACCUGAGAGGGUGAUCGGCCACACUGGAACUGAGACACGGUCCAGACUCCUACGGGAGGCAGCAGUAGGGAAUCUUCCGCAAUGGGCGAAAGCCUGACGGAGCAACGCCGCGUGAGUGAUGAAGGUCUUCGGAUCGUAAAACUCUGUUAUUAGGGAAGAACAUAUGUGUAAGUAACUGUGCACAUCUUGACGGUACCUAAUCAGAAAGCCACGGCUAACUACGUGCCAGCAGCCGCGGUAAUACGUAGGUGGCAAGCGUUAUCCGGAAUUAUUGGGCGUAAAGCGCGCGUAGGC